Molecule: ribosomal RNA, 129 nt
Filed under: Octodon degus (degu)
Lineage: Eukaryota; Metazoa; Chordata; Mammalia; Rodentia; Octodontidae
Source: RNAcentral
GCCAGACCACCCUGAAAGCGCUCGGUCUCUUCUGAGCUCAGACACUAAGCAGGGUCAGGCCUGGUUAGCACUUGGAUGGGACAAAUGUAUAUUAUUUUUAUAAUAUAAAAAUACAGGGAAAACAAGAGU